ACAGCUUAUUCUUAGUUGCUUACAAUUAAUAAUUGGUGCCUAGAUAUUAUGGAUAGGUGAACCAGAAAUCUGCAGAUAAAUAGAUGAAGAGAAAAAAUGUCAAGCUGGGAUAAUGGGAUCCAGGAGUGCUCUGUUCUGUUCAUUGAAGCAGCUUCCUCACCAUGAAUAACCAGGAUUCUGCCUCAAAUAUUUGCCACAGAGGAACAUUUUCUAAGGGCCUGAUUCUACAAACACCUAAAAUCACCGUCAUACAAGAGACUACAGGGGAAGACGGAAAUAAAGAUAGCUGAAAAGUUGCAAUCCACUGAAGUGAAACUCCACACGUGCUCUUGGC
Long non-coding RNA from Gopherus evgoodei (Goodes thornscrub tortoise), 334 nucleotides. RefSeq lists it as uncharacterized. NCBI's taxonomy places the organism in Eukaryota, Metazoa, Chordata, Testudines, Testudinidae. The transcript is spliced from 3 exons. The record is from RefSeq and is a predicted model, not a curated record.